RNAcentral lists this ribosomal RNA (464 nucleotides) under Vreelandella stevensii. Its description in RNAcentral is "partial 16S ribosomal RNA". It matches the Rfam family "Bacterial small subunit ribosomal RNA", at positions 338 to 795 of the family's 1533-position model. Lineage: Bacteria; Pseudomonadati; Pseudomonadota; Gammaproteobacteria; Oceanospirillales; Halomonadaceae. The record is from RNAcentral.
CCUACGGGGGGCUGCAGUGGGGAAUAUUGGACAAUGGGGGGAACCCUGAUCCAGCCAUGCCGCGUGUGUGAAGAAGGCCUCGGGUUGUAAAGCACUUUCAGUGAGGAAGAACGCCUGGUGGUUAAUACCCAUCAGGAAAGACAUCACUCACAGAAGAAGCACCGGCUAACUCCGUGCCAGCAGCCGCGGUAAUACGGAGGGUGCGAGCGUUAAUCGGAAUUACUGGGCGUAAAGCGCGCGUAGGUGGCUUGAUAAGCCGGUUGUGAAAGCCCCGGGCUCAACCUGGGAACGGCAUCCGGAACUGUCAAGCUAGAGUGCAGGAGAGGAAGGUAGAAUUCCCGGUGUAGCGGUGAAAUGCGUAGAGAUCGGGAGGAAUACCAGUGGCGAAGGCGGCCUUCUGGACUGACACUGACACUGAGGUGCGAAAGCGUGGGUAGCAAACAGGAUUAGAUACCCUAGUAGUC